CCAGCAGCCGCGGUAAUWCGAAGGGKGCAAGCGUUWCUYGGAAUUWCUGGGCGUAAAGCGUGCGUAGGUGGUUGUUUAAGUCUGUUGUGAAAGYCCYGGGCUCAACCUGGGAAUUGCAGUGGAUACUGGGCAACUAGAGUGUGGUAGAGGGUAGUGGAAUUCCCGGUGUAGCAGUGAAAUGCGUAGAGAUCGGGAGGAACAUCCAUGGCGAAGGCAGCUMCCUGGACCAACACUGACMCUGAGGCACGAAAGCGUGGGGAGCAAACAGGAUUAGAUACCCUGGUAGUCCMCGCCCUAAACGAUGCGAACUGGAUGUUGGGUGCAAUUUGGCWCGCAGUAUCGAAGCUAACGCGUUAAGUUCGCCGCCUGGGGAGUACGGUCGCAAGRYUGAAACUCAAAGGAAUUGACGGGGGCCCGCACAAGCGGUGGAGUAUGUGGUUUAAUUYGAUGCAACGCGAAGWAACCUUACCUGGUCUUGACAUGUCGAGC
Molecule: ribosomal RNA, 489 nt
Filed under: Stenotrophomonas sp. THB1.5
Lineage: Bacteria; Pseudomonadati; Pseudomonadota; Gammaproteobacteria; Lysobacterales; Lysobacteraceae
Description: partial 16S ribosomal RNA
Rfam family: Bacterial small subunit ribosomal RNA
Source: RNAcentral